This 73-nucleotide transfer RNA is filed under the name Canis lupus familiaris (dog). It matches the Rfam family "tRNA". Rfam says of the family: Transfer RNA (tRNA) molecules are approximately 80 nucleotides in length. Their secondary structure includes four short double-helical elements and three loops (D, anti-codon, and T loops). Further hydrogen bonds mediate the characteristic L-shaped molecular structure. tRNAs have two regions of fundamental functional importance: the anti-codon, which is responsible for specific mRNA codon recognition, and the 3' end, to which the tRNAs corresponding amino acid is attached (by aminoacyl-tRNA synthetases). tRNAs cope with the degeneracy of the genetic code in two manners: having more than one tRNA (with a specific anti-codon) for a particular amino acid; and 'wobble' base-pairing, i.e. permitting non-standard base-pairing at the 3rd anti-codon position. RNAcentral also lists the same sequence under 2 other names. The record is from Rfam by way of RNAcentral. Lineage: Eukaryota; Metazoa; Chordata; Mammalia; Carnivora; Canidae.
GCCUGGCUGGCUCAGCUGGUAGAGCAUGUGACUCUUGAUCUCAGGGUCAUGAGUUCAAGCCCCAUGUUGAUCA